RNAcentral lists this ribosomal RNA (796 nucleotides) under uncultured Rhizophagus. RNAcentral describes it as "SSU rRNA". It matches the Rfam family "Eukaryotic small subunit ribosomal RNA", at positions 312 to 1105 of the family's 1831-position model. The record is from RNAcentral. Lineage: Eukaryota; Fungi; Glomeromycota; Glomeromycetes; Glomerales; Glomeraceae.
UUAUCAANCUUUUCGAUGGUAGGAUAGAGGCCUACCCAUGGUGGUAACGGGGUAACGGGGUGUUAGGGCACGACACCGGAGAGGGAGCCUGAGAAACGGCUACCACNUCCAAGGAUGGCAGCAGGCGCGCAAAUUACCCAAUCCCGACACGGGGAGGUAGUGACAAUAAAUAACAAUACGGGGUUCUUUAGGAUCUCGUAAUUGGAAUGAGUACAAUUUAAAUCUCUUAACGAGGAACAAUUGGAGGGCAAGUCUGGUGCCAGCAGCCGCGGUAAUUCCAGCUCCAAUAGCGUAUAUUAAAGUUGUUGCAGUUAAAAAGCUCGUAGUUGAAUUUCGGGGUUAGUAGGUUGGUCAUGCCUCUGGUAUGUACUGGUCUCACUGAUUCCUCCUUCCUUAUGAACCGUAAUGCCAUUAAUUUGGUGUUGCGGGAAUUUGGACUGUUACUUUGAAAAAAUUAGAGUGUUUAAAGCAAGCUAACGCUUGAAUACAUUAGCAUGGAAUAAUGAAAUAGGACGUUCGAUCUUAUUUUGUUGGUUUCUGGGAUUGACGUAAUGAUUAAUAGGGAUAGUUGGGGGCAUUAGUAUUCAAUUGUCAGAGGUGAAAUUCUUGGAUUUAUUGAAGACUAACUACUGCGAAAGCAUUUGCCAAGGAUGUUUUCAUUAAUCAAGAACGAAAGUUAGGGGAUCGAAGACGAUCAGAUACCGUCGUAGUCUUAACCAUAAACUAUGCCGACUAGGGAUCGGAUGAUGUUAAUUUUAUAAUGACUCAUUCGGCGCCUUACGGGAAACACAAAGUG